AUUGAACGCUGGCGGCAUGCCUUACACAUGCAAGUCGAACGGCAGCACGGGUGCUUGCACCUGGUGGCGAGUGGCGAACGGGUGAGUAAUACAUCGGAACAUGUCCUGUAGUGGGGGAUAGCCCGGCGAAAGCCGGAUUAAUACCGCAUACGCCCUACGGGGGAAAGGAGGGGAUUCGCAAGGACCUUUCACUAUUGGAGCGGCCGAUAUCGGAUUAGCUAGUUGGUGAGGUAAGGGCUCACCAAGGCGACGAUCCGUAGCUGGUUUGAGAGGACGACCAGCCACACUGGGACUGAGACACGGCCCAG
Molecule: ribosomal RNA, 308 nt
Filed under: uncultured bacterium
Lineage: Bacteria
Description: bacterial SSU rRNA
Rfam family: Bacterial small subunit ribosomal RNA
Source: RNAcentral